Anopheles stephensi (Asian malaria mosquito) is the source of this 1437-nucleotide RNA transcript. RefSeq lists it as uncharacterized. The record is from RefSeq and is a predicted model, not a curated record. The transcript has 4 exons. NCBI's taxonomy places the organism in Eukaryota, Metazoa, Arthropoda, Insecta, Diptera, Culicidae.
GCACCUAAAUAAAUAAAUUUUGGAGCAGUCAUAGUCAUAGUGAUGAUUGUGUUCGCACCAGAAGCAUGAGACAUGUGGUGCCCUUCUGGUGCGUGGUUCUGUUUUCGCUCGGAACACAGUUAAGACCAGCGAAAGCAUUCGUCAAGCUCCUACCAGUUGGCCAGAAAGUAGAGUUUAGAAGCAAUGUGCAAAGCAUCACUGUUUCGCACACCUUUCACCGUUCAGAAUCGCCGAUUAAUCAGCUGCUUGAGCUAGAGGUGAAUUUCACACGCACCAUCAAGGAUUUAAAGCUGCAGUUCAGUUAUUAUAUCACACACCCGAACGGUUCGAUUCAGACGACCCUCACAAAACGUACGGUCGACUUAUGUUUCUACUUUCGGAACUCAAAUUCCGAUCGGGUCGUGAAGCUGAUGUACGAUUACACCCGCGAGCGGACCAACUUACCGCUCCAGUGUCCCAUCAUGCCGGGCAGCUACCACGUGCGACAUAUCCGGCCGGCCGACGUUCCUCUGCCGGCCUUUCUGCCCGAAGCUUACGUCCUGUUCGAAGCGCUCUAUCGGUCCGCGGUACGGCGGGAAACUUUGUUCGAGUUUCGGUUCUACGUUAAAUUGGUACGCUUCGUAGAAAACAUUUUCUAGAACACUUGGUAAAUCAAAACAUAAACGUAAUAAAAAUUUGAAACAAACAAUUGCAAAUAACAAAAUGUCUAAAAUGUUAACAUAAUUUUGAAAUUCCUCAUUUUGAAGUGGUGAACUACUGAUACUAAACCUAAAAUCACCAAUUAACUCAAACAAUUUACUACGUACGCUUCAACGCCAUCACCUAAACCCACAGGUACACUAAUCAUUUUGUUAUUUUUUUAGAACAUUUUUUAGUACAACUGUGAUUGAACAGUGAUAAUGUUUAAUUAUUCGGGAUAUCGCCAAGGCACCACGUGAAACAUCCGCCCCAAAGAGGAAAAAAACCGUUCACUGUAGUCUAGCGUACGCUCUUAACAGCGAACGUUGCGUCCCUUUGCUGAGAUGUUCAGAUUUUGCUUGAUUUUAAUUACAAUUUUUCUACUACUCAGCAUCAGCGAGAUGAACUGUUUCAUAACAAUUAUACCGGUUGUGGAUAAAAUGGUUUGUAAGUUUAACGAUCGUUUCAUCAAUGCCACAUUCACGUUGGAGCAACCGGAAUCCGUCACCAAUCAAAGUGUUUCGUUUGAGUUUCAAAUGGUACGUGAAAUAAAGGAUCUGAAGGUGAGAAUAGAUGCUGUUCCAUGUUAGUAGUCGGUUUGCUACAAGUGGUAAGCUAAGCUACCGAUAGGUGGCGCUCAUUUUAUAGCAUUUGUUAGGUUAGUGAAUAUAUGAAAAGCAUACGAGUUGAGUAGGCUCUGUUAAAACAAAAACAGCCUUGCUAGGUUCAGUUAUGACCGUUGCAAUACUUAUGACCAGA